GUCGUGAGAUGUUGGGUUAAGUCCCGCAACGAGCGCAACCCCUACUGUGUGUUGUAUCACUCACACGGGACUGCCGAGAGAAACUCGGAGGAAGGUGGGGAUGACGUCAAGUCAGCAUGGCCCUUACGUCUUGGGCUACACCCACGCUACAAUGGCCGGUACAACGGGCAGCUAAACCGCGAGGUGGAGCUAAUCCCAAAAGCCGGUCUCAGUUCGGAUCGUAGGCUGCAACUCGCCUGCGUGAAGCCGGAGUUGCUAGUAACCGCCGGUCAGCAUACGGCGGUGAAUAUGUUCCCGGGCCUUGUACACACCGCCCGUCACGUCAUGGAAGCCGAUAACACCCGAAGCCGGUGGGCCAACCGCAAGGAGGCAGCCGUCGAAGGUGGGAUUGGUGACUGGGACGAAGUCGUAACAAGGUAGCCGUACCGGAAGGUGCGGCUGGAUCACCUCCUUUCUAGGGAGAGGGAGUCGGCGCCAUCGGUAGGGUGCCGGCGUCUAUACCCUCCCAGGUUGAUCGUCCGAUCUUCGCCGAGUGCCCGCUGGGUGGGACUCGGGUCUUCCACAGGCGAAGCGAAAGCGGAGCCGUCCAUCAAGCAAUUGGUGGCGAAGGCGAUCGUGACGACCCAGCAACAGUUACCGAAAUCUCGCUCGCCAACCCAAAGUUGGCUUCCUGCCACUCUUCAAGUGUUAGGGUGCAGCCGGUGCCCGUCCCCGCAAGGGACGACUCGCCGGCCCAUCCGGCGGGCGUUUAGCUCAGCUGGUUAGAGCACUGCCCUGAUAAGGCAGAGGUCUCUGGUUCGAGUCCAGAAACGCCCACCAUCAAGCUCGUCGGAGCGGCAAGGGGACGUAGCUCAGCUGGAAGAGCAUCUCCUUUGCAAGGAGAGGGUCAGGAGUUCGAGUCUCCUCGUCUCCACCACUCUCACAGUCGACAGGCAAGCGAAGCGGAGCGGACAACUGCGCAGAGCAGCACACAAGCAGCAACUGAAUAUCGGGUAGACCCCGGACAACCUCGCAGGAAGACAAGCAGCCUCCAGGUGGGCGGCUCGAGGAUCCUCGAGCCGUCUUUGUGUGUCUACCGCCACCGAUCCCCUGAUCAGUGGGCUCGAGCCAGGAAGUUCGAGGUCACCGACCAGCGGAUAGCUGGACCGGAAGGCUCCGCAAGGUGCCGAUCGGGGCCCCACAAGGGGCGCACCUUAACAAGUGAAGACGUGAUCAGAAAAGAUCUUCAAUUUCUGCCGUAAUUGACAGAGGUUAUGGAUCCCGGAUCUCCCCGACGGGCGGCCCUUUGGGUUGGUUGUUGAGGGAGGUCAAGCUACACAGGGCACGAGGUGGAUGCCUUGGCGCCAAGAGCCGAUGAAGGACGUGGUAGGCAGCGAAAUGCCUCGGGGAGCAGCGAGCAUGCUUUGAUCCGAGGGUGU
Molecule: small RNA, 1418 nt
Filed under: uncultured bacterium
Lineage: Bacteria
Description: bacterial SSU rRNA
Rfam family: Bacterial small subunit ribosomal RNA (bases 1-454)
Source: RNAcentral